Long non-coding RNA from Rosa rugosa (rugosa rose), 532 nucleotides. RefSeq lists it as uncharacterized. NCBI's taxonomy places the organism in Eukaryota, Viridiplantae, Streptophyta, Magnoliopsida, Rosales, Rosaceae. The record is from RefSeq and is a predicted model, not a curated record. The transcript is spliced from 2 exons.
GCCAUGUGGAGAGUUUAUAGGCCUCCUCACCAUUACAGUAUCAUCGGCACUGAUUCAUCAGCGCAUUUCGCUCCCACUUUACUCUCUGCUUUGCUCUCUUGAACUCCAGGCUGAGGUGUACUCGCUUCGUUUGAAAAACAAAGGCACUCCCAAGACCAAAAGUUUGUUAGCCUGAAAAUCAAAGUCGGAAAUGGGAUAUAUAGUGGUGCUAUCGUUGCCGGUGAUACUGUUCAUCCUGAUCGUAGCUCUUGCCUUUUACCUUCUUGGUAGGGCAAAUGGCCGGAGAGAAGCAGUUAUUGCUGGACGUCCUCCGGUUCCGGCGCCUCCAUUCCAACCCCACGAGAAGCCAGCCGAGCAGGUCUAGGGGAUAAAUAUCCUUUGUAAUGAAUUAAUUGUUAAUUUCUGUGUUGUAGAUUUGAAAUAAUUAAUUAGUUCCAUCCCUUGUUAUAUUUCAUCAAGAUUUUUUUGAGUUGAAUGGUGUUAGACUUUAUUGAUAACUAAUAAACAGAUUAAUGAAUACAUUUCUCAGAUU